This 645-nucleotide ribosomal RNA is filed under the name Staphylococcus aureus. RNAcentral's name for it is "bacterial SSU rRNA". It matches the Rfam family "Bacterial small subunit ribosomal RNA", at positions 124 to 755 of the family's 1533-position model. Lineage: Bacteria; Bacillati; Bacillota; Bacilli; Caryophanales; Staphylococcaceae. The record is from RNAcentral.
ACCUACCUAUAAGACUGGGAUAACUUCGGGAAACCGGAGCUAAUACCGGAUAAUAUUUUGAACCGCAUGGUUCAAAAGUGAAAGACGGUCUUGCUGUCACUUAUAGAUGGAUCCGCGCUGCAUUAGCUAGUUGGUAAGGUAACGGCUUACCAAGGCAACGAUGCAUAGCCGACCUGAGAGGGUGAUCGGCCACACUGGAACUGAGACACGGUCCAGACUCCUACGGGAGGCAGCAGUAGGGAAUCUUCCGCAAUGGGCGAAAGCCUGACGGAGCAACGCCGCGUGAGUGAUGAAGGUCUUCGGAUCGUAAAACUCUGUUAUUAGGGAAGAACAUAUGUGUAAGUAACUGUGCACAUCUUGACGGUACCUAAUCAGAAAGCCACGGCUAACUACGUGCCAGCAGCCGCGGUAAUACGUAGGUGGCAAGCGUUAUCCGGAAUUAUUGGGCGUAAAGCGCGCGUAGGCGGUUUUUUAAGUCUGAUGUGAAAGCCCACGGCUCAACCGUGGAGGGUCAUUGGAAACUGGAAAACUUGAGUGCAGAAGAGGAAAGUGGAAUUCCAUGUGUAGCGGUGAAAUGCGCAGAGAUAUGGAGGAACACCAGUGGCGAAGGCGACUUUUCUGGUCUGUAACUGACGCUGAUGUGCG